UAGGGAAUCUUCCGCAAUGGGCGAAAGCCUGACGGAGCAACGCCGCGUGAGUGAUGAAGGUCUUCGGAUCGUAAAACUCUGUUAUUAGGGAAGAACAAAUGUGUAAGUAACUAUGCACGUCUUGACGGUACCUAAUCAGAAAGCCACGGCUAACUACGUGCCAGCAGCCGCGGUAAUACGUAGGUGGCAAGCGUUAUCCGGAAUUAUUGGGCGUAAAGCGCGCGUAGGCGGUUGUUUAAGUCUGAUGUGAAAGCCAACGGCUCAACCGUGGAGGGUCAUUGGAAACUGGAAAACUUGAGUGCAGAAGAGGAAAGUGGAAUUCCAUGUGUAGCGGUGAAAUGCGCAGAGAUAUGGAGGAACACCAGUGGCGAAGGCGACUUUCUGGUCUGUAACUGACGCUGAUGUGCGAAAGCGUGGGGAUCAAACAGG
Molecule: ribosomal RNA, 429 nt
Filed under: Bacteroidota bacterium
Lineage: Bacteria; Pseudomonadati; Bacteroidota
Description: Bacteroidetes bacterium partial 16S ribosomal RNA
Rfam family: Bacterial small subunit ribosomal RNA
Source: RNAcentral